AAUUUUUCAUCUUAUUUGAUGUUUUUGGCACUAUUAGACUAAUUACUGCGCUUAUACAGCCACAAAGUCAGCUAGUAAAAAAACAGUUGAAGCCCGAACGGAGCGGAAAACGGCCCAGGUAUUAAGUCAGUCCACGUCCUGAUACCAGACCCGAUGAUUCUAACAAGGAUGCACUUCACCAGAAAUACGCGCCCACACCACAGAAAACAGUGCAAAAUCAGACCGAAAGAGCGCCGCCUGUGACAUGACGAUGCGUGGCAUGCUCGGUGGUACUUCGACCAAACGUGGAAGAAAUAACGCCUAUCAGCAAACUCCAUAAAGAAGGGCAGACAACUUCAACCCUGGAGGAUACCGAUUUGUUGAUAUCAGCACUACAGUUAACACUACUGUUCAAGCUAUGCUGGACCAUCAGCGUCAAAAGCCUGCUUAUGGCCGGCCUGUGCUACUGGCAGAGAAGGGAACACAUCAGGGCCUUGCUGUUUCAGAAGUGCUGGCAUGCCAAUGUCAUUUCUCAACGUGAAGAAGGAAGCUACUCCGAGAUACCUCGUCAAGCUGGUAGAGGUCGAAGGACAGCUACUCCAAACAUGGCCUUCCAGGUUGGCCUCCUCAACCCUGGUACUACAGCAACCGGGGCAAGACGACUCUUGACAGCCAUGGGUACAUGUUCCCUCAAUAAAGGGACUGCAUAAAAUAUCACGUCACUGUGGGGACAUUAUUAUCAAUGAAAAUGUUGGAAAUAUGGCUGACAAGCAGAAACUGGUUAAAGAUAUUCAACAGUUACAGGGCUUUGAUCGACAGGCCCACUGCUGUAGAAUCAGGUAGGCAAUACAACAACCCUCUCAGAAACUGCCGGAAAAAAACACUAUUUGUGCCAGCAACACAAACUAGGGAUGUGGUAUGUGAACAUAUAAGCACAAAGAAAAUGGUGAUAAUGUUCCACCAUGAGAGUAAACUUUGUAUUAAUGUUCAAAUCAAAUGUCAUGCAAAUACAGCAACAAAUAAGCACAUGUUCUGAGCACAUGUCAUGUAGUGCUACAUGCCCGGAAAAUUACAACAUGGGGGAUGAAAGUGUAAUGGGCGUAUCGCAUAAGCUGAUUGUCUGUGGUAGGCUUCCGUAGAUUUGGAGUGUGUUGUGAAGACAGGCAAGGGUUUCCAUGAUAACUGUUGGUGCAUUAAGUUUCCUUGUGACUUUACAGAAUCAGCAUUUAUGUUCAUAUUAUAAAAAUCACUAAUUUUAGUAACAGUUUUGGCCCAGAUUCCUUGGUAAUGAUUGGCUUAGGUGACAAAAAUCAUGAUAAAGUUGUAAUGCAUUAACGUCGAUCACGUGAUUGUAGGCCCGCCAAGCUGCCAUUUUGUGCCAGCCCUGACAAAGACGUGCUCAUCCUAACCGAGACAUUUUCCAAUCAUUUUUGGCAGUAUUGUUUUCGGGAGUAUUGUUUUCUAAAUGUUUUCAACAGUUAAAUGACAAGUAUUGUAAACCGUAGGACCAGUGAAAGGAUCAAAGGAUAGAUUAUUUUCCUUCUCUGUUCGUAUUUGUCGCCCUGUGUAGCACGGCAAAUUACAUUAGUCAUACAUGUAGGUGAUACGACGCUGUGUUGAAGAAGCACAGAGAUUGGCAGAGCUUUGGAUUGUUAUCGUUACAUGUACUUAUUCUCAAAAGGGAAAUAUUCCAUGUUGCACAUGUAGUUGUGAACGAUUGUUGCAUUUCAUGAUAAAUGGGCUUCCAUCGCUGACUAAGACGGCUGGAAAUUGUUGAAAUCUAAACUACGGAAGCCGAGUGGUACCAUGAAUUAGGUACCAAUUUCCUUAGUGUGGAAACCUUUUGAGCAUUUUUGGCUGUCCUUAUUACUUUUUGAGAGUUCUUCAUUCCUAGAUGUAUGGUGAACCAUGUAUGUCACUAUAAGAUAAAUCACAUAUACUGAAAUUUGCAGAGAUUUUUCAAGUGAUAGCUUUGUGAAUUACUUCACACAGUGGUAAUUUUUACCUUGUGUUUGAUGACCACAUGGUGUUGGAAAGUUAUUGUUGUGCACCUUGCAGGGAAUAGUAACAAGUGUGCUCAUUUUUUCAUAGGUAUUGAAGCUGAUUUACAAAAUCAGUACUUGAUGUUCAUCUAGCUACGGUAGCCAGGCUGUGCCAUUACUGGGGUAAGCAAGCACAGAAAUCAGCCAAUUGUUUAAAUUUAGCAUGUUGUGGUAUUUCCACAUACUUUAUUUAGCUUUUCUUGUACUUAUAGAGUUUUCUGAUUUUAUAAGGUGCUUGUACUUGCCAAAUUGUGUUGCUGAUGCAACAUUGCCGUUACAUGUACAUUCCCAUUUCUGUAAAUUGAGUUAUAUCUUACAAGAUGUUCUAGUUCAUUUAACAAAAAAGUCGGGGAUGCAUCCCCAGAGGUGACUUAUGCCAGGCGCUAAAUGACAUUUAUGAUAUACGGUGCCUUCUCUGAUGUUAUUUAGAUACUGGUACAUGUAUAAUUAAAUCCUUGUCGAAAUUGUGUAUUUCACAUGCAGGAUUUUUCUUAGGGAGACUGCCUACGCGCUCCCUGUUAUUAAACGGCACAUUCAAAGAACCUCUA
This 2569-nucleotide long non-coding RNA is filed under the name Acanthaster planci (crown-of-thorns starfish). RNAcentral describes it as "uncharacterized LOC110988518". The record is from RNAcentral. Lineage: Eukaryota; Metazoa; Echinodermata; Asteroidea; Valvatida; Acanthasteridae.